This 446-nucleotide ribosomal RNA is filed under the name uncultured bacterium. RNAcentral describes it as "partial 16S ribosomal RNA". It matches the Rfam family "Bacterial small subunit ribosomal RNA", at positions 338 to 795 of the family's 1533-position model. The record is from RNAcentral.
CCUACGGGGGACAGCAGUCGAGAAUCAUUCACAAUGGGGGAAACCCUGAUGGUGCGACGCCGCGUGGGGGAAUGAAGGUCUUCGGAUUGUAAACCCCUGUCAUGUGGGAGCAAAUUAAAAAGAUAGUACCACACGAGGAAGAGACGGCUAACUCUGUGCCAGCAGCCGCGGUAAUACAGAGGUCUCAAGCGUUGUUCGGAAUCACUGGGCGUAAAGCGUGCGUAGGCUGUUUCGUAAGUUGUGUGUGAAAGGCGCGGGCUCAACCCGCGGACGGCACAUGAUACUGCGAGACUAGAGUAAUGGAGGGGAAACCGGAAUUCUCGGUGUAGCAGUGAAAUGCGUAGAUAUCGAGAGGAACACUCGUGGCGAAGGCGGGUUCCUGGACAUUAACUGACGCUGAGGCACGAAGGCCAGGGGAGCGAAAGGGAUUAGAUACCCUGGUAGUC